CCUACGGGAGGCAGCAGUGGGGAAUAUUGCACAAUGGGGGAAACCCUGAUGCAGAGACGCCGCGUGAGUGAAGAAGUAUUUCGGUAUGUAAAGCUCUGUCAGCAGAGAAGAAAAUGACGGUACCUGACCAAGAAGCCCCGGCUAACUACGGGCAAGCAGCCGCGGUAAUACGUAGGGUGCAAGCGUUAUCCGGAUUUACUGGGUGUAAAGGGAGCGUAGACGGAAGGGUAAGUCUGGAGUGAAAGGCGGGGGCUCAACCCCCGGACUGCUCUUGAUACUGCCAGGCUGGAGUGCAGGAGAGGUAAGUGGAAUUCCUAGUGUAGCGGUGAAAUGCGUAGAGAUUAGGAGGAACACCAGUGGCGAAGGCGGCUUACUGGACUGUAACUGACGUUGAGGCUCGAAAGCGUGGGGAGCAAACAGGAUUAGAUACCCCAGUAGUC
RNAcentral lists this ribosomal RNA (440 nucleotides) under uncultured bacterium. Its description in RNAcentral is "partial 16S ribosomal RNA". It matches the Rfam family "Bacterial small subunit ribosomal RNA", at positions 338 to 795 of the family's 1533-position model. The record is from RNAcentral.